GACAGAGGCCUCAAGCGUUAGGCGGAAUCACUGGGCUUAAAGCGUGUGUAGGCGGAUCGUUAAGUGUCUUGUGAAAUCCCACGGCUCACUCGUGGAACUGCUGGGCAUACUGGCGAUCUUGGGCCAACUAGGGGCAGCCGGAACAAGCGGUGGAGCGGUGAAAUGCGUAGAUAUCGCUUGGAACGCCGAAGGUGAAAACAGGCUGCUGGGGUUGUGCCGACGCUGAGACACGAAAGCCAGGGGAGCAAACGGG
This 253-nucleotide ribosomal RNA is filed under the name uncultured bacterium. RNAcentral describes it as "partial 16S ribosomal RNA". It matches the Rfam family "Bacterial small subunit ribosomal RNA", at positions 524 to 776 of the family's 1533-position model. The record is from RNAcentral.